Fomitopsis serialis is the source of this 85-nucleotide non-coding RNA. NCBI's taxonomy places the organism in Eukaryota, Fungi, Basidiomycota, Agaricomycetes, Polyporales, Fomitopsidaceae. The record is from the annotation of a RefSeq genome assembly.
CCUUCGAUAGCUCAGCUGGAAGAGCGUGAGACUGUAAUCGGAUACCGCUAUCUCAAGGUCGCUGGUUCGACCCCGUCUCGAAGGA